ACACACAUAAAGCGUUCGCUAAAUCAGGGGGUUUAAGCUGCUGUCUUGCUGAAAAGGUCGUUACUACAGACACCGAAAUGGUAGCACUAUUCUAAUGCGUUGCAAAGACAAGCUGCUGUACCAGAAGAGCAGCAGGACUUCAGAGAGCACAAAGGCUGUUUUAACACAACCUGAUGUAUUUUAUGGCAGCCAAUUAAAAUAUAUUAAGUUGAAAUAUGCAAGUGCAAACAAUCCUUAUCUUUGUUUCGCUUCAGCUCUGAACAUGAAAACAUACAACCUCUUAACAUAAUAAUCCUGGUGAUAGAUUUGAGAUUUAUAUUUCACCUUUCACGCUGGGGCCAUCGGGGUGGAAAAGUCUUUCAAGUUCAGUUCAAUACCAGCAGUGCUGAAACUGGUAAAUAAACACAACUUCAAUUUACUGUGCAGACACAGGAAAAACACGAUGGAGUCGGAAUUACCAGACCCUGGUGUUACGGGGGAAAGGAACUUUGGGCAUGAAUUCAGCCGAGGGUCUCUCCUGUAGAGAGCUAUGGAGUAUUAAACACCACCUGAACACAGAAAUAAGCAAAAUAAUCUGGUUAAUAUUAGUUAAUAUUUCAAUGGAUUUUAAUUGAUUAUCUGACAGGCUACACUUUCCUAAGAGAGGAGCCUGGGGUUUCCUAUGACUGGUGGCCUGCAGUGCAGUCAACAAAAAAACUGCACAAGUACAUAGACUAAGCAGUUUGCCAAGUUUAGAAAUUUCUCUCUAAUAGCCACAUUAAUGAAAAGGAUAAUUAUCAGCAAUUCCUGCUAUGUGAUGGGAAUGUGCGAUGGUAGUGAAAAACACACACAGACUCUGGAAAAUAACACCCAUGCUGAGGACUAAACACUGGGACAAACCUCUCUGAUCUCUGAAGGAAAAGGCAACAGAGCUGAUGGAGACUUCAUAGCUCUUUGAGUUAAAUACAUGAACAGAAGUGAUGAGGUUGGGCAGAGACUACUAAUAGAAAGAAGACAACACAAGCCCCACAGACAUUUAGUCUCUCCCAUAAAGACAAGCUGCCUGACAAACAAGUAGGAAUUAGGACAGUCUCCCAACUCUGUGCUAUAUUCUCAUCAUUCCUAUACACUGAAGGCCCUUGGAUGUGGGUAUUCCUUUUUGAUAUAAUGAGACCUCUCUCUUCAGAAGACACAUUCAUUUUGGUAAAUGAACACAAUUUCUGUUACCCCCCUCUGGGGGAAUUCUACAUGACUCCAGCUCAGAUCUUCGUUUUAUCUAUUUUUAAGUGGUUUGCAUGCCU
Neopelma chrysocephalum (saffron-crested tyrant-manakin) is the source of this 1280-nucleotide long non-coding RNA. RefSeq lists it as uncharacterized. The transcript is spliced from 4 exons. NCBI's taxonomy places the organism in Eukaryota, Metazoa, Chordata, Aves, Passeriformes, Pipridae. The record is from RefSeq and is a predicted model, not a curated record.